This 434-nucleotide ribosomal RNA is filed under the name uncultured bacterium. Its description in RNAcentral is "partial 16S ribosomal RNA". It matches the Rfam family "Bacterial small subunit ribosomal RNA", at positions 29 to 508 of the family's 1533-position model. The record is from RNAcentral.
AACGAACGCUGGCGGCAUGCCUAACACAUGCAAGUCGAACGAGACCUUCGGGUCUAGUGGCGCACGGGUGCGUAACGCGUGGGAACCUGCCCUUAGGUUCGGAAUAACUCCCCGAAAGGGGUGCUAAUACCGGAUAAUGCCUUCGGACCAAAGAUUUAUCGCCUUUGGAUGGGCCCGCGUUGGAUUAGCUAGUUGGUAGGGUAAAAGCCUACCAAGGCGACGAUCCAUAGCUGGUCUGAGAGGAUGAUCAGCCACACUGGGACUGAGACACGGCCCAGACUCCUACGGGAGGCAGCAGUGGGGAAUAUUGGACAAUGGGCGAAAGCCUGAUCCAGCAAUGCCGCGUGAGUGAGGAAGGCCUUAGGGUUGUAAAGCUCUUUUACCCGGGAUGAUAAUGACAGUACCGGGAGAAUAAGCUCCGGCUAACUCCGUGC